GUGGAUUCGAUCCCGACUCAAAAAUCGUGUAAAAGCUGUUGCGACCAUAUCUUGCUACUCUUCAGUAGUGUGAAGCAGGAAGCGAUCACUUUUUGGCAUUGUUGCUUGGGAGCUAACGGUUUUAGCUAUCUAUUUAGUUAGUUUUGUGUGUUGUUCUUCUUUCCUUCUUUGUUACUAAUUUGUGUGUGUGAAUACUUCAGGUAUCAAAUGGCUUUAAAUGCUAAUGACCCUCUUGGAAACGUGCUUGCGGUGGAGGAGGUUGAUGAUAUUAGAGACGAGGAGGUGCCUCUUG
This 292-nucleotide long non-coding RNA is filed under the name Nicotiana benthamiana. RNAcentral describes it as "long non-coding RNA (NBEN_LNC025542)". Lineage: Eukaryota; Viridiplantae; Streptophyta; Magnoliopsida; Solanales; Solanaceae. The record is from RNAcentral.